AUUUUUUGAAAGCCAUGUUCCACAGAGAUACUUAACACACUGGGUGUGUUUGCUCUUUUAGUUCUUUCUCUCUGUUGCAGUUGGCUAAGAAGAAAAUGAGCAGGGUCUUUAGCUAAUCCUCUGUCUUUCCUUGUGAGAAAAAUGAACUGUUUUUUUUCCCUCUUCUUUAAAAAUACAAGAUUAAGCUUUUUAAGAUAGCAUUAGUCCUUGUAAGCUUUGACUUAGUCUCUGUUCAUCCAAAAUUUACCUUGCUUUGCAUUUCCAGUGUAGUUGUGGGUUCACUCACCCCUGCAGGAUACAUGCCCAGUGAUCGUAAGCUAAAACUUGAACAUCAAGUGCAGCUUAAGUGCAAAUGUUGAAUCAUGGUAGAGCUCUAAUUUAGUUUGAAACCCAUGUUUUUCUUUUCUUGAUUUCCCAUCUUAAUUUUUUUUCUGUGGAUGUCCAGUUUGUCUAGGUUUACCAAGAUGACAAGUUAAGAUAGUUUAGAUGACUAACAUCUGAGUUAAGAUUUUUUUAAUGAAGACCUGAAAAUAUCCACACCUGCUAUGACUUUUCCAGUAUGCUAUGUAUUGAAAUAUCCUUUCCACAGCUUUUAUUAGAGCUGCAAAAGUCUUGUUUACACUUUUUUGCAUGUGAUGCAUGUUGGCUUAGCCAGAGCUUUUUUUUUCUUGGAAAAGAGUGGAAGAUGAGUUUGCAUCAGUUUUUAUAUUGCAUGUUUUUAAAUUGAACAGCCUGAUUCUGAAAGUCUGAGAAAUCUGUCGGCCAGUGUGCUGCUUCUACCUGCAGACAGACGUGGAACAUGUUUGCAGAGUAUUUCAAGGGAGCAAGACAAUGGCUUUUCAGAGAAACCCAGCCAAUCCCAGCAGAAGAUCUCUGAAUCAAUUUUAGAAACAAAUGAAAUCUCUCCUAAAAGAGGAAGACAAAAAUCAGGUGAGUACUUGGAACCUACCUUUCAUGUGUCAUCCUCAGCUGAAAAACAGGAAGCCAUCAAGGAUCCUGUUGAAAACUAUGGGAGGCAGGAUAAAUAUGUUUUAGAAACUACCAACUUGAUAGAGAAAACAACACAUGAAAAUCAGACUGACAAAGCAGAAAUUUCACAUCGGGAAGCCCUAGCACAAAAUGAGAAAUUGCACAGUACUGACAAGAAGUUAAG
Molecule: long non-coding RNA, 1153 nt
Filed under: Apteryx owenii (little spotted kiwi)
Lineage: Eukaryota; Metazoa; Chordata; Aves; Apterygiformes; Apterygidae
Description: lncRNA (ENSAOWG00000019406.1)
Source: RNAcentral